GACAGAGGAUGCAAGCGUUAUCCGGAAUGAUUGGGCGUAAAGCGUCUGUAGGUGGCUUUUUAAGUCCGCCGUCAAAUCCCAGGGUUCAACCCUGGACAGGUGGUGGAAACUACCAAGCUAAAGUAUGGUAGGGGCAGAGGGAAUUUCCGGUGGAGCGGUGAAAUGCGUAGAGAUCGAAAAGAACACCAAUGGCAAAAGCACUCUGCUGGGCCAACACUCACAUUUAGAGACGAAAGCUAGGGGAGCGAAU
Molecule: ribosomal RNA, 250 nt
Filed under: uncultured bacterium
Lineage: Bacteria
Description: partial 16S ribosomal RNA
Rfam family: Bacterial small subunit ribosomal RNA
Source: RNAcentral